UAAACUGAAAACAGCAAUAAUGUUCAGCAAAGUAAGAUCUACAAAUAAGUCAACAUGAUCAAAAUUGUAAGAGGACCCCUUAAGGAGUUAUUGCCCUUUAUAGUCAAUAUUGAACAACUUUUCGUCAUUUUUGUAACUUGUACAAAAAUCUUCUUAUCUAAAAGUAUGGGCCAAAUUUAACCAAACUUGGCCACAAUCAUUACUAGGGUAUCUAUUUAAAAAAGUGUCAAAUGACCCCACCUACCAACCAAGAUGAUUGACAUCAGUAAAUACAGUAACAGGUGAGCGACACAGGCUCUUGAGAGCCUCUAGUUCAUAAAUCUUAGUAAUCUUUUACAAAAAUCUUCUCCUCUGAAACUACUGGGCCAAAUUAAUCCAAACUUGGCCACAAUCAUCUUUGGG
RNAcentral lists this long non-coding RNA (402 nucleotides) under Mytilus galloprovincialis (Mediterranean mussel). Lineage: Eukaryota; Metazoa; Mollusca; Bivalvia; Mytilida; Mytilidae. The record is from RNAcentral.